Molecule: ribosomal RNA, 305 nt
Filed under: uncultured bacterium
Lineage: Bacteria
Description: bacterial SSU rRNA
Rfam family: Bacterial small subunit ribosomal RNA
Source: RNAcentral
CCUACGGGAGGCAGCAGUGAGGAAUAUUGGUCAAUGGGCGGGAGCCUGAACCAGCCAAGCCGCGUGAGGGAAGAAGGUACAGCGUAUCGUAAACCUCUUUUGUCAGGGAACAAAGGCGGGGACUAGUCCCCGGAUGAGGGUACCUGAAGAAAAAGCAUCGGCUAACUCCGUGCCAGCAGCCGCGGUAAUACGGAGGAUGCGAGCGUUAUCCGGAUUUAUUGGGUUUAAAGGGUGCGCAGGCGGUCUGUUAAGUCAGCGGUAAAAGCCCGGGGCUCAACCCCGGCCCGCCGUUGAAACUGGCGGGC